GUGCCAGCCGCCGCGGUAAUACGGAGGGUGCAAGCGUUAAUCGGAAUUACUGGGCGUAAAGCGUUCGUAGGCGGUUAUUUAAGUUAGAUGUGAAAGCCCCGGGCCGUUAACCUGGGAACGUGCAUUUAAAAACUUAGGGUAACGUAGAGUUUAGGAGAGGGAAGUGGAAUUUCAGGUGUAGCAGUGAAAUGCGUAGAGAUCUGAAGGAACACCAGUGGCGAAGGCGACUUCCUGGACCAAAACUGACGCUGAGGAGCGAAAGCGUGGGUAGCAAACGGGAUUAGAUACCCCGGUAGUCCACGCCGUAAACGAUGUCAACUAGCCGUUGGGCCUAUAUACAGGUUUAGUGGCGGAGCUAACGUAUUAAGUUGACCGCCUGGGAAGUACGGCCGCAAGGUUAAAACUUAAAGGAAUUGACGG
This 420-nucleotide ribosomal RNA is filed under the name uncultured bacterium. RNAcentral's name for it is "bacterial SSU rRNA". It matches the Rfam family "Bacterial small subunit ribosomal RNA", at positions 505 to 916 of the family's 1533-position model. The record is from RNAcentral.